GGGCGGGGGCACGGGGGGACUCCUACGGGAGGCAGCAGUCGGGAAUUUUGGGCAAUGGGCGAAAGCCUGACCCAGCAACGCCGCGUGAAGGAUGAAGUAUUUCGGUAUGUAAACUUCGAAAGAAUAGGAAGAAUAAAUGACGGUACUAUUUAUAAGGUCCGGCUAACUACGUGCCAGCAGCCGCGGUAAUACGUAGGGACCAAGCGUUGUUCGGAUUUACUGGGCGUAAAGGGCGCGUAGGCGGCUUAACAAGUCACUUGUGAAAUCUCCGGGCUUAACUCGGAACGGCCAAGUGAAACUGUUAUGCUAGAGUGCAGAAGGGGCAAUCGGAAUUCUUGGUGUAGCGGUGAAAUGCGUAGAUAUCAAGAGGAACACCUGAGGUGAAGACGGGUUGCUGGGCUGACACUGACGCUGAGGCGCGAAAGCCAGGGGAGCAAACGGGAUUAGAUACCCCGGUAGUCCUGGCCCUAAACGAUGAAUACUUGGUGUCUGGAGUCUUUAAUGCUCCGGGUGCCGUCGCUAACGUUUUUAGUAUUCCGCCUGGGGAGUACGCUCGCAAGAGUGAAACUCAAAGGAAUUGACGG
This 584-nucleotide ribosomal RNA is filed under the name uncultured bacterium. RNAcentral describes it as "bacterial SSU rRNA". It matches the Rfam family "Bacterial small subunit ribosomal RNA", at positions 302 to 916 of the family's 1533-position model. The record is from RNAcentral.